GUCCACGCCGUAAACGAUGAUAACUAGCUGUCCGGGCACUUGGUGCCUGGGUGGCGCAGCUAACGCAUUAAGUUAUCCGCCUGGGGAGUACGGUCGCAAGAUUAAAACUCAAAGGAAUUGACGGGGGCCUGCACAAGCGGUGGAGCAUGUGGUUUAAUUCGAAGCAACGCGCAGAACCUUACCAGCCUUUGACAUCCCGCGCUAUCCUGAGAGAUCAGGGGUUCCCUUCGGGGACGCGGUGACAGGUGCUGCAUGGCUGUCGU
RNAcentral lists this ribosomal RNA (263 nucleotides) under uncultured bacterium. RNAcentral describes it as "partial 16S ribosomal RNA". It matches the Rfam family "Bacterial small subunit ribosomal RNA", at positions 793 to 1055 of the family's 1533-position model. The record is from RNAcentral.